GAUAGGUCCGCAAAGAUAGAGACAGCGUUAUAAGGGUCGGGCAAUGUGGCUUGGGCUCUAGCGGCCUUAAGAAGAGCCUCCUUGGCUUUAAAAUGAUGGUAGCGCACGAUAAUGUCGCGCGGAACAUCCGCGCCUAAUCUGGGCGGUUUUGGAACCCGGUGGGCUCUGUCCAGUUCCCAGGUUACCUCUGAGAGGUCAGGGACCAGCGUGGUGCUUAAUGCGGUAAUGUAGGCCGAGAUCUGAUCUGUUGAUACGGACUCUGCCACUCCCCGGAACCGCACGUUGUUCCUACGAGAGCGGUCCUCCAUGUCCGCCAUUUUAUGCCAUAAUUUGAUAUUGUCUUCUUCUAGUUUCUGUAUUCUCUCC
This is a non-coding RNA of Pelobates cultripes (western spadefoot toad), 366 nucleotides long. The record is from the annotation of a GenBank genome assembly. NCBI's taxonomy places the organism in Eukaryota, Metazoa, Chordata, Amphibia, Anura, Pelobatidae.